Molecule: non-coding RNA, 378 nt
Organism: Leptonychotes weddellii (Weddell seal)
Lineage: Eukaryota; Metazoa; Chordata; Mammalia; Carnivora; Phocidae
Source: RefSeq, a predicted model, not a curated record
UUGCUUGCUUUGCUUCUCUUUUUCUCGGCAGGUUCUGUUCUGGGAACCGGGCUUGUUAAAAAUCACUGCUGCGGUUCUGGGCCUGGGGUCAUCAUGCUGGCAUCGCGAACAAAACCAUUUCCUGCUCUCUCCCUGCCCUCCCUGGCAAGGGAGAGCCACGGUCCAGGGGCCUGAACCAUCUCCGGCUCCUGACACGGUGCUCAGCACAGACUCGACACUCGAGAAACUGUCUGCAGAUACUGACUGACCACUGGAAUGUCUCGAGAAAAAGAUCUAGCGUGACAAACACCAUGAUGCUGAGGUGCGCCAUGUCUGGGAAAUGAGGCUGGGGCUUGGCCCGUUUUUCUUUUUCACUCUAGAGUAAACAAUAUAUUAAAA